Molecule: ribosomal RNA, 510 nt
Filed under: Parmelia sulcata
Lineage: Eukaryota; Fungi; Ascomycota; Lecanoromycetes; Lecanorales; Parmeliaceae
Description: eukaryotic LSU rRNA
Rfam family: 5.8S ribosomal RNA (bases 203-356)
Source: RNAcentral
AUCGAGAGAGGGGCUUCGCGCUCCCGGGGGUUUCGGCCCCCAACUCUUCACCCAUUGUCAACUUACCCUUGUUGCUUUGGCGGAUUCCGGGGUAUGUCUUGCGUAGGUUUGUCAUAAACCCGUGCGAGAUGUGCCCCGGCCCCGCCGGAGGCCCAUUAAAAUCUGUUUAUCAGUGAUGUCCGAGUAAAAAACCAAUAAUAAAAACUUUCAACAACGGAUCUCUUGGUUCCAGCAUCGAUGAAGAACGCAGCGAAAUGCGAUAAGUAAUGUGAAUUGCAGAAUUCAGUGAAUCAUCGAAUCUUUGAACGCACAUUGCGCCCCCUGGUAUUCCGGGGGGCAUGCCUGUUCGAGCGUCAUUACACCCCUCAAGCAUAGCUUGGUAUUGGGCUCUCGCCCCCGCGGCGUGCCCGAAAAGCAGUGGCGGUCCGGUGUGACUUUAAGCGUAGUAAAUUUCUCCCGCUUUGAAAGUUCGCCCCGUGGCCUGCCAGACAACCCCAUAUUCUUCAAUAA